UAUGGAGGGUGCAAGCGUUGCUCGGAAUUAUUGGGCGUAAAGGGUAGGUAGGUGGUCUUAUUUGUGUGGGGUGAAAGCCUUGGGCUUAACUCAAGAAGUGCCCCGCAAACGGUAAGACUGGAGUCUUGGAGAGGCUAGCGGAAUUCCCGGUGUAGCGGUGAAAUGCGUAGAGAUCGGGAGGAACACCAGAGGCGAAGGCGGCUAGCUGGACAAGCACUGACACUCAACUACGAAAGCGUGGGGAGCAAACAGGAUUAGAUACCCUGGUAGUCCACGCUGUAAACGAUGGGUACUAGGUUUGGUAGGUCUUGACCCCUGCCGAACCGGCGCUAACGCACUAAGUACCCCGCCUGGGAAGUACGGUCGCAAGACUAAA
RNAcentral lists this ribosomal RNA (376 nucleotides) under uncultured bacterium. RNAcentral's name for it is "bacterial SSU rRNA". It matches the Rfam family "Bacterial small subunit ribosomal RNA", at positions 524 to 898 of the family's 1533-position model. The record is from RNAcentral.